Molecule: ribosomal RNA, 774 nt
Filed under: uncultured Neocallimastigales
Lineage: Eukaryota; Fungi; Neocallimastigomycota; Neocallimastigomycetes; Neocallimastigales
Description: partial large subunit ribosomal RNA
Rfam family: Eukaryotic large subunit ribosomal RNA
Source: RNAcentral
CGCAUCUGUGCAUGCAGCAUAUCAAUAAGCGGAGGAAAAGAAACUAACAAGGAUUCCCUUAGUAACGGCGAGUGAAGCGGGAAGAGCUCAAAUUUGAAAUCUUCAAGGUUUUACCUUGACGAAUUGUAGUUUAAAGAAGUGUUUUCUGUUGAAGUUUUGGUAAAAGUUCUUUGGAAUAGGACAUCAUAGAGGGUGAGAAUCCCGUAUUUGACCAUUAUUUUCAGCUGUGUGAUACACUUUCAAAGAGUCGGAUUGUUUGGGAAUGCAGUCCAAAAUGGGUGGUAAAUUUCAUCUAAAGCUAAAUAUUGGUGAGAGACCGAUAGCGGACAAGUACCGUGAGGGAAAGAUGAAAAGAACUUUGAAAAGAGGGUUAAACAGUACGUGAAAUUGUCAAAAGGGAAGCGUUUGACACCAGUGUUGUUUUCUCGAAAAUCAAUUAAAAAGAGUUAGAUUUUGUUGUGUAUUGACCUUAACAGCUUGCAUUUCAAUUUUCUUGCUUUUUUUAAUGCACUUUUCGUUUAACAAGUCAACAUCAGUUUCUUUUGUUGUAAAAAGGUCAUUGGAAGGUGGCUUUCUUUUCGGAGAAAGUGUUUAUAGCCUUUGACUCCUGCAAUCGGAGAGACUGAGGUCUGCAGCGUAGAUCCUUCGGGGUUAGAUACAUUUGUGCUAAGUUAUAGCUUUUUAUAGACAACUUGUUGACUAUGAUUAGUCUUGUAGCUUACUCGCUUAUGCUAUUUUACCUACGCUUAGGAUGUUGAUGUGAUACUGCGAGCA